Molecule: ribosomal RNA, 588 nt
Filed under: Triticum aestivum (bread wheat)
Lineage: Eukaryota; Viridiplantae; Streptophyta; Magnoliopsida; Poales; Poaceae
Description: partial small subunit ribosomal RNA
Source: RNAcentral
AUGGGUUCCUUAUUCUCUUCCCCAGCCGCCGGCGGCGGCGACGGCGGCUACGAUUACGCCAACGCUCUCCGGGACUCCGACGAGUACAUCGGCCGCUCCAUUGAGAAAAAAGAAGAGGACAUCCCCUUCCGAACUUGUACGCUUGUCGACAUCGCCCUCCAUCAUUACAACUCCAACAACCCGGGUGCCAAGUUCGAGUAUCCUGAGUAUCCUCCUCAGUCGACAUCGGAGAUGAAGGCCGCCUGCGUCGGUUUCAGAGGAACUUUCUGGUACCACCUCAGCUUUUCGGCUCGCCCGAUGGAUGCCACCGCCGAGAAGCAGCACUUCUUCGCCGAGCUAUAUUAUCAUAGACAGUUCCGCCAACUAGCUGUUCAGACAUGCACCAUCUUAGGAAAGCCGUUGUGCCGCUUUAGCAGGUCAUGUGCAUUUUGUCCAGAGGAAUCCAAUAUCUUGCACCCAAGCGAUGCAGAAUUUGUGUGUGGAAAGCCUGAUCACAAAAAAGAGUUCUUCCGCAAGAGAGAUAUGCUAGUGCGGCCAUACAAUUCUUUUAUGAUACCUCCUGAUAUAGAUAACAGCGAUGAUCCAUGA